UAGGGAAUCUUCGGCAAUGGACGGAAGUCUGACCGAGCAACGCCGCGUGAGUGAAGAAGGUUUUCGGAUCGUAAAGCUCUGUUGUUAGAGAAGAACGUUGGUAGGAGUGGAAAAUCUACCAAGCGACGGUAACUAACCAGAAAGGGACGGCUAACUACGUGCCAGCAGCCGCGGUAAUACGUAGGUCCCGAGCGUUGUCCGGAUUUAUUGGGCGUAAAGCGAGCGCAGGCGGUUCUUUAAGUCUGAAGUUAAAGGCAGUGGCUUAACCAUUGUACGCUUUGGAAACUGGAGGACUUGAGUGCAGAAGGGGAGGGUGGAAUUCCAUGUGUAGCGGUGAAAUGCGUAGAUAUAUGGAGGAACACCGGUGGCGAAAGCGGCUCUCUGGUCUGUAGCUGACGCUGAGGCUCGAAAGCGUGGGGAGCAAACAGG
This 429-nucleotide ribosomal RNA is filed under the name Bacillota bacterium. RNAcentral's name for it is "Firmicutes bacterium partial 16S ribosomal RNA". It matches the Rfam family "Bacterial small subunit ribosomal RNA", at positions 355 to 776 of the family's 1533-position model. The record is from RNAcentral. Lineage: Bacteria; Bacillati; Bacillota.